This 24-nucleotide small nuclear RNA is filed under the name Arabidopsis thaliana (thale cress). RNAcentral describes it as "snRNA_04460". Lineage: Eukaryota; Viridiplantae; Streptophyta; Magnoliopsida; Brassicales; Brassicaceae. The record is from RNAcentral.
UUAGUUUUUUUUGUUCAAGUAUUC